CGUAGGUGGCAAGCGUAUACUCGGAAUCACUAGGCGUAAAGCGCAGGUAGGAGGUUUGGUAAGUCUGUUGUGAAAGCUCCCGGCUUAACUGGGAGAGGUCAACGGAAACUACUAGGCUAGAGUGCGGUAGAGGUAGCUGGAAUUCCCGGUGUAGCGGUGAAAUGCGUAGAUAUCGGGAGGAAUACCUAUGGCGAAAGCAGGCUACUGGACCGUCACUGACUCUGAUCUGCGAAAGCUAGGGGAGCAAACAGGAUUAGAUACCCUGGUAGUCCUAGCCCUAAACGAUGCUCAUUAGGUGUGGGAGGUAUCGACCCCUUCCGCGCCGUAGCUAACGCAUUAAAUGAGCCGCCUGGGGAGUACGGCCGCAAGGUUG
Molecule: ribosomal RNA, 373 nt
Filed under: uncultured organism
Description: bacterial SSU rRNA
Rfam family: Bacterial small subunit ribosomal RNA
Source: RNAcentral